Molecule: long non-coding RNA, 1056 nt
Organism: Carassius auratus (goldfish)
Lineage: Eukaryota; Metazoa; Chordata; Actinopteri; Cypriniformes; Cyprinidae
Exons: 3
Source: RefSeq, a predicted model, not a curated record
AUUCCCCCAGAUCUUCACUGACUGUGACUCCAGACAGUCCUGUAUUCACUGGAGAGACAGUCAAUCUGACGUGUGUGAUUGAGUCUCACAGUAACUGGAGAUAUGAGUGGUAUAAAGACACAGACAGUGUAAUGUUACAGACGUCUGAUCGUCACACUGUAAACAGAGACACUCUCACUAUCAGAGGAGUAAUUACAUCUGAUCAGGGUCAGUACUGGUGUAGAGGACAGAGAGAUCAGAGACCAAACUCAUCACAGGACAGUAACCAAAUACAUCUGUCUGUUAAUGGUUCAGGUCAGAUUUCUGUCUUCAGCAUCCUCAGUUUUCUUCUGGCAGCUUGUCCGUAUCUGCUGUCGACAGUCGUGCUGCUGUUCAAAUGUUACAGAGCGAGAGUUACAUCUACUGAAGACCAAAGCCAGUACGCUGUAACAGAAGAACAAACUUCAAUCUGAUUUCAUCCAUUCUUCAAACCGCGUGCAGAGUCUCAGGAUGCAGGAGUCUCAGACUGAAGGAAACACACAAGACUAACACACACACAUUCACACUCUCACACACGCAGACAAUAAGUGUUUCUGAUUCUCCUGGGCAGGGGCGUAGAUUAUUCACUGCUUUUAAUAUCAUGGAAACUCGUCCCCCGCACUUUUUCGGUCAAGUUUGUUCUCAUAGAGGUUUUCAAAAGUUGGUGAGAUUGUGUGAAUAAAUAUAGAUUUAAACUCAAAGAGACGGGAUAGUCUGCAUAUGAUUUGAGAUUUAAUUCGGACCCAGAAUACAGCGAGAUGAAUAUUACAGAGCGCAAACACUCCUGUAGUGUGCUUUUCAUUAAAUUCAUCCUCGAAGCCGGAGGGCGCUCUCGCGCAGAAAGUCAUUUCAGGAAGAUCCUAAUAUGGGCAAAAGCGUCCAGCUAUCGCUGUGUGAAAACAGUUUUUAUACAGAAAAAAAGCCCAGAAACUUUUGCAAACACUAAGACAUUAAGCAUAUGAUUGCAACAAUAUAUGGAUUUUCAAGUAAUCUCCAGCAGGUGAUAAAUAAAGAAUGACCAAUUUAGUACCUAUUGAC